GGGCAAACCACACUUAUGUGGUCACAUCCGUUCCAUAUUCUCUAUUAGUGAGUUACAUAAACACAUCCACCUUAUAUGCAAAAAGAAAACAGAAAACAUCAACACUACACCACCACCAACAAGGUACGCAAAACACCGCCGAUCUGUGGUGGCCGUUUUUUUUUUCCUCUCCGAUCUGUGGAUUUCAGGGGUCGUGGGUGGGUUAAACACAACAACACCACAACACCACCACCCACAAGGUACACAAAACACCACAACACCACCAACCACAAGGUACACAAAAUACCACCGAUCUGUGGGGGCCGGUUGUUUUGUUUUUUCCUCUCCGAUCUGUGGAUUUCAGGGGUCGUGGGUGGGUUAAACACAACAACACCACUACCCACAAGGUACACAAAACACCACACCACCAACACUACCACCCACAAGGUGCACAAAACACCACAACACCACCAAGCACAAGGUCUAGAUGGGUGGCUCUAGAAGACUAGACCUGUUCUUCACCUUUUACAUCACGACUUUCAGGGAAUAUAAUUCGUAAAGGGUUCUAUGGAGCCAAACGUGUGGGGGCAUAAAGUCCAGGGUUUGAAGGAAGUGAAUUGACUGUGGUGGUGAUGGAAAGGACAUUUACGCUUUGGUUGUUUUGAAGUAAAAUUUUUGCAAAGCUCAAACAUCAAGGGGUGUAAUCGGUUCGCGGUUGGUGUUGAAGGCAAUUUUUACACUAAACCGAGGAUUUCGGUUUUGCCAUAUUUGGCACCGACACCAACUGAUAGGGAAGGAAUACCAAACCAACUUGACUGCAGUCAGUUUCGAUUCAAUUUUGUUGGGUUUGGUGUUUGGAUGUGAGAAAAAGCAAGAAGAAAAAGAGAAGAAAAUAGGUUUUGUUGUUUGGGAUGUAAGAAACAAAAGCAAGGAGAAAAAGUGAAAAUUGCAUGAAGAAAAAGAGAAGACGACCAGCGGCAUGUCAAGAAGAGAGAGAAUUGGGGGAGAGGGGGGCACUGGAGGCUGGAAAAGAAAAGAUGCUAUAACUAUUGGUAAGGAAAUAAAAGAUGCUAGGGUUAAAGAAAAGAUGCCAGGGUUAUAAAAAAAAAAAAAAAUCACUCAAAAGGGUUGGGUGAACCACCUAUCAAUUUGUUCUAAGAAUCUCUCAUUCUAUCUAGUUCUAAUUCACAUUAGAGCCCAUCAAUUUUUUCUAAGAAUCUCUCAUUCUAUCUAGUUCUAAUUCACAUUAGAGCCCAUCAUAUGUUCUUGCAUCAAUACCCCAUAUGCAAAAAACAAAAAAUAACAAUUCUGCUCACAAUCUGCAGCUUGACUGUCUUCCCAUACAGCUCCAGUGUUUUGAUUUUCUGAAACAUAAACCUCAAAUAUUCAAGUAUUGGUCCAUACAAAAACUAUAAACCCAAACAUAAACAUACACACCCACAUACAUAAAUUCCAUCAUAAACCUUUAGAAAAUCAUAAAUCAUUUAUUGAUAAAUAAAUGGUUCAGAUUUUACAGCAUUAUCAGCAUUUAAUCAAUAUAUAUAUAUAUAUAUAUAUAUAACCGAAACUUCUGAAGCUUCUACAAUUUUCCACAUCAACAUAAUAUUAAAAAAAAAAACGAACACAAAAAAAAAAAGAACUUUUCAUGCAAAAUAAAACUUUUCUAAAACCCGAUAAACGCAAAACCAGCUCUCUACCUUCUCAUUCCUCAAAAAAUAGCUCUCUGCCUUCUCCUUCCUCAAUAAAAACCACCAUACCCACCAUACUCACAAACCAACAGAGAUCUCCUUGCUUAGACCCUAUUUCUCCCGUUCCCCUUCUCCUUUCCUGUUCCACCCACAACCACCACAACUCAGCAACUCAGCAGGCAGUAUCAGCACCACCACCCACAACAACAGCAACCCACAAACCACCAUAAUCAGACCAUAUCAAACCCACAACCCAAAAGCAAAAAACGAUUUUGAAGAUUUGCAAUUGCCCAAAGUUAAAGUCGCUGCCGAACUUCGUUACUAUAACUCUGUUACAGAAAUUCUAAAUCUGGGGGAGUCCGAUUCUAGAUGAACGCUGCGAAAGAGAGACAGGAGAAGAGUGGCCCAAAAUUUCCCACAUCCCUAACAUCGAGAUGUUUGUUAAGAUAAAGUUUGUCAAAGAAGAAGAUGACGAAGAAGAGCAAGAGGACCGGUGAUUUCUGUGAUUCUAGGUUCAAGAUUUGAGAUUCAAGUAGAGAUUUUUGGAUGACGAUGGUGAAACAUGAUUUGUGUGGAUGGGCAAAGUUCAUUCUUUGCUUGAUUUAGUUAUAGUCUAAUCUAGUCAUGGUGGAUGACAGCAGGUAGAGGAAUCAUCCAACCCUGAAAUGCCCGCAAGAAGAAAAACUCAAAGGGAUUAUAGCUCUGGGUCAAUUUAUCCUCUAAGGACAAAAUGUCAGAACUCUUCUUUUUGUUGAAGGGGUUCUUAAAAGUAGAAGUUCUCAAAUCAAUGAUUGUAUCAAAAGUUCAUUCUCUUGGAUGGUGUUUAAUGGAACUGAUGUAACAGAGGGUUCUGAGAGGCUAGCAGAAGCUAUAGGUGAUGAUUCUGAAGCUGUGAUAUGUGCUACUGGGUUUAAGCCUGGAUGGGAUUUGUUUGCUUCUUGGAAGGGGACAUUUUCAUGUGGUCUUCGUUAUUGUCAAGGAAAGUUAUUUUCUUUUUAAGGCAUAUAAGCUGCACUUUUGGGAGAUCUAGGGUACCAUGGAAAAGAAAGAAUACUGCCAAAGGCCUGAAAACAACUAUAUGUUGCUCUUUGGGACCAAGAUUUAACUUUGCCUUGAGGUUAAAAAUGAGAUUACAUCAUACAAAGAUACAAUUGUAUGCAGCAAUGAAGAUUUCCAACCAUGAGAAGUGGUAGCAUAUAAGCAUAAACAAAUUAUUUUUGUAUUUAUUUGUAUGUAAGUUUUUGGUGUUAUAUUAUUGCAAUUUUAAUGUGGAAAUUGUUACUAUAAACCUUGAUUUAUUUGUUCAAAUAUACAAAUUUUGUUUA
Molecule: long non-coding RNA, 2992 nt
Organism: Quercus robur (English oak)
Lineage: Eukaryota; Viridiplantae; Streptophyta; Magnoliopsida; Fagales; Fagaceae
Exons: 10
Source: RefSeq, a predicted model, not a curated record